This 2229-nucleotide long non-coding RNA is filed under the name Phoenix dactylifera (date palm). Its description in RNAcentral is "long non-coding RNA (PDAC_LNC013285)". The record is from RNAcentral. Lineage: Eukaryota; Viridiplantae; Streptophyta; Magnoliopsida; Arecales; Arecaceae.
GGUCACACUGUCACAGUAAGACGGGCCUUGACUGCCCACAUAAUGAUCUCCAGCUGGAUCAGAAGUUCUACUUGAAGUGAUAUGAAAUGAUCCAUCUACCGAUUGAAGUGAAAUGAAAUAAGACAAAAUCCAACUGUGCGUCGAUCGGAGAGAAGCUGUACGUCUCUUUUAUAUCCUGGAUACUGAUUACGUUGGUUUCGCAAUGAAUGCACCACGAUGGUGUAGAUGGCUCCUGGGUCUCUGCCUUUCGGAAUCGCCAAUCCGUGAAGCUGUUUCGUGGCUGUCUGAAUUUACGCUGUGUUCAAAAAAGGUAUCCAUCCUUUCUGGCGUCCAAAAAUAUUUUUAAAUCGUAUAGUAGUAAUUAACAAAAAAAUAAAUUAUUAUUUUGAUUUUAUAGAAAAAAACUGAAAAAUGCCUAUUUGACAAAAAAAAUUCUUUCCAAAAAUAUUUUCUGAUUAAUAUGAAAAAAUUAGUUUAAUUUUAAUAAAAAAAAUUGACCAAACCAAAUAUGAUUCAGUCUGGUUAUAUAUUUUCUAAAAAAUAUGGCUAUGAUUUUGUGGACCCAACUGAAUUGGAUCUAAUAAUUUAUCCUAUUUAUAAUAUAUAAUUUUAUGCUUAUAAUUUUUAAGUUUUGUUUAUAAAAUUUGUUGAAUGUAAUUUCAAGCUUUGUAUAGUCUUGAGGUUUUGAAGAUUAAAAAAAGAAGAAGAUUUCUUCAUAAAAAUUGUAUAACUUGAGACUGAACCCGAUAACGAUCCUUUCCUGAUCCAACCUAGACUUGGUACCACUCGUACCGACUUUUACGGGAGACCCAAACCAAACAAGACCCAAGUCUUGGAUAGUUAGGAUCCGGGUUAACAAUCAGUUCGAACCUCCUGAUAGGUUUAAGUCACAUUUAAGAGGUAUCCGGAUCUAACUUGACUUGAUACCACCCCGAUGUUAAUAUGAAUUUGAAUAGCUGUUUAUCUUGUUAUCAUGUUUGAUAUGCACUGGAAAUAACUAUCGAUAUUUAUCCUGUCGCCUAUUUAACUAUAUAAAAUAAUUUCCAAACCCCCUUCCUUUUUUUCUUUAAAUCUUUUGAAGCACUUUUCUUUCAUUACUUUCUAUUACAGUGACAGAUAAUGACCGGAACAUCCUAAGUUGAGGCAGUUUCGGGCUGGUAAUAGCCGAUUUCAUAUUAAAAAUGGUAAUGGAGAGAGUCUGUUAUUUGGGAUAUUGGUAGUCAUCGAAAUAUAUGGCUUAACUGCCACGUGGAUCAGCAUCCAUAUUUUGAAUCCUUUGCCUGCUGAACGGUCGCAUUUCUAUCUAACUUGAAGUCUAGCCACAUUUUUUGCUGGCAAUCGGACAUCAAUUCAUCCCUUGGAUGCGGCUUCAGCCACGGUUGUUGAUUUGGCUCUCCGGAAGGAUCGCUGAUGGCAACCAGUAUUGCUGGCCUUUACUCGUCGCCCACCAUCCCAACACAAGCCCAUUUUGCCGUUCGAACUUUGGAGAGAGGUUUUAUUAUUAUUCUUAUUCUUAUUUUAUUUUUUUAACAACUUAGUUCACGGGACGUGAGUACAACUAACAGAAUUAAGAAAAAUAAAAUAACACAAAGGUGUAAAGACAGGGUUAGAUCCUAUCCACAAAAGAAACAAUCCAGUCAGCCGCCCUAUCCACCUUCCGAUACACAUGAAUAGUCUAAAAAGAAGUGCAACUGGAUACCAAUAUUAGGAUAUCCCUGAGUAAUGGGUGCACACCGUUCUGCCGCUCAACCUGCCGAAUUCACUCAAUCACCAUCGAAGACUUUUCUUCCAUGAUGAUGCGAUUAGCCUUUAGGACGCUCCUCGCAUAGAUGAUCUUCUUCCAUGUUGCUCUGAGUUCAGUUUCAAUAGUAGUCAUAUCGCUAGUGCGCCGCCCGCCUGCCACAAUCGAUUUGGAAGUGUAGUUCCGAAUCACAAACUCUGUUCUUCCUUUAUCUUCGCUUGUUAAGACGCUACCGUCGAAAUUCAUCUUGAGUUGGUCAAAAGGUGAGGGCUCUCAAAAGACAAAAGUCAGACUGUUGUAAAAGUGGUGUAGAAGCCCUAAGUGUCUCUGACCCACUCUGGUGAAGGUGACUGUGUAGCGGCAAUGAUCUUGGUCACAUGAUGAAUGAUCAUGUUCACCACUGUCUUCGGGGAUGUCUUCUUCUUCUCGAAGGUGCCGGCAUUUCUGUCCGAUCAGAGGCUUCUUUGUGGAGGAAGUAGGACGGUACC